AUGCGACCCCAGGUCAAGCGGG
This 22-nucleotide ribosomal RNA is filed under the name Calytrix tetragona. RNAcentral's name for it is "partial 28S ribosomal RNA". Lineage: Eukaryota; Viridiplantae; Streptophyta; Magnoliopsida; Myrtales; Myrtaceae. The record is from RNAcentral.